CCUACGGGAGGCUGCAGUGAGGAAUAUUGGUCAAUGGGCGCGAGCCUGAACCAGCCAAGUAGCGUGAAGGAUGACUGCCCUACGGGUUGUAAACUUCUUUUAUAAAGGAAUAAAGUGAGGCACGUGUGCCUUUUUGUAUGUACUUUAUGAAUAAGGAUCGGCUAACUCCGUGCCAGCAGCCGCGGUAAUACGGAGGAUGCGAGCGUUAUCCGGAUUUAUUGGGUUUAAAGGGUGCGUAGGCGGGCUGUUAAGUCAGCGGUCAAAUCUCGGGGCUCAACCCCGGCCUGCCGUUGAAACUGGCUGCCUCGAGUGCGCGUGAAGUAUGCGGAAUGCGUGGUGUAGCGGUGAAAUGCAUAGAUAUCACGCAGAACUCCGAUUGCGAAGGCAGCAUACCGGCGCCCUACUGACGCUGAGGCACGAAAGCGUGGGUAUCGAACAGGAUUAGAUACCCCUGUAGUC
This 459-nucleotide ribosomal RNA is filed under the name uncultured bacterium. RNAcentral describes it as "partial 16S ribosomal RNA". It matches the Rfam family "Bacterial small subunit ribosomal RNA", at positions 338 to 795 of the family's 1533-position model. The record is from RNAcentral.